This 1187-nucleotide unclassified non-coding RNA is filed under the name Leishmania donovani. RNAcentral's name for it is "gene:unknown". The record is from RNAcentral. Lineage: Eukaryota; Euglenozoa; Kinetoplastea; Trypanosomatida; Trypanosomatidae.
GCAUACGCGGGCUCACGCAGCUGCUCACUUGUUUGGUUGGCCCGCCUGCCGCUCCUCCUCGUGCACACCUCCCCCUUUUAUCCUGUCUCUCUCACUCGCUGUAGACGUCUGCUCACGUGCUUUCUCUCCCCCAUCUGCCGUAUGCAUGUGUGUGCAUGCGUGUGUGUGCCCGCGUCUGUCUCUCCCAGCAUGAGGGCGUGUACUCUCCUCACUCCACCCCACCCCAUCAUCCUCUCUCUCCUCCCCAUCCGGUGACUGUCGUUGCCCUUUCGACUGCCUUACUGCAGUGCAUGAAUAGACGCACACACCCACACAAAUAUGUGCAUGGACCCGUACUCGGCACUGGAUGCGAUGCAGCCGCAGCGAAAGGGAUUGGAAUGGCGAGAGAGCCCCUGGUGCGUGUGGGCGUGGGGGGGUUCACUGCACGCCAUUGCCUGACUCUUUCGUAGGGUUUCUUCACGUCGCUUAUCCUCGUUGUUUUUCACAUUCGGUGUCGAGGCAUCCGUCGAUUGGGUGUGCGCAUGUCCGCUGGUGGGGGGCCUGUGUAGCCUCCUUUGUUGGUGUUCUUGUGCGCCUCCAUCCACUGUUGAGUCGUCUUUCGCUUGCCGCUGCGGCGAGCAGUACACACACACACACACACAGGUGCACAGGUGUGCGCACUCACAGAGGAAUAUAACGUAAAACCGUCUACCUUGUACUAUCACGACUGCAACGUGCUAGGGCGCUCGAGUGUAGAGGCAGCGGGGGGGGCGGCGGUGGCUGCUCGAUGCUCUCUGCUUGCACACAGUCACAGGGAGAGACCACGCAACUCUGUUUGACAAGCUGCUCGGCGUCUCGCUAGGUACGCACCGUCUCUCUGUCUACCUGCGUGUGCGCACAUCCACGGUUCGUGUUCUGGUAGCGCGACAUCCCCGCGAUGAUUAUCGACUUGCUUGUUCUCCCUCACUGCGGCUGCUGCUGCUUCCCUUUGACUGUGCAGCUUCGUUGCCUUUUUCUGUUACGCGACGCGCACUCACGGCUUCUUUCCCACGCACCCCAUGAGCCUCUUCCAACCUCUCCUCUGAGGCUCCCCUCGUCUCCUUCUCCCCCUUAAACUUCUUCAUGAGCGGUCUCGUGCCUUCGCUUGCGCACUCCGCUUUCUGUGGAUGCCUACCCUCCGUCUUCCGCGUCCUCUCACGUGCUCGCAG